This 295-nucleotide long non-coding RNA is filed under the name Olea europaea subsp. europaea. The record is from RNAcentral. Lineage: Eukaryota; Viridiplantae; Streptophyta; Magnoliopsida; Lamiales; Oleaceae.
AUUUGAAGAAGCUAUUAUCAUUUUUGAUUUCUCUAUGUUGAAAAAGCGUGAAAGAAAUGGAUGCUUCACCAUUCUUUCUUUCUGAAGAGGAUUGGGCUGGUUUGAAAAAUUCAGAAAUAUAAGCCUUCAAUGCUUAGUCAUUAGAAUAGUCAAUUAAAUGAUAAUCACUUCAAAUUAACAUUAAGAUUGACUAUUAAACAAGACAUUGUUUGCUGUUUAUGUAAUGAUUUGCGCAAAUAUUGAAACAAAUGGCUAAUUCUUUCUACCUUUUUCCUUGUCAUUUAGAAGAAUGCAC